This 269-nucleotide ribosomal RNA is filed under the name uncultured bacterium. RNAcentral describes it as "partial 16S ribosomal RNA". It matches the Rfam family "Bacterial small subunit ribosomal RNA", at positions 28 to 307 of the family's 1533-position model. The record is from RNAcentral.
GACAAACGCUGGCGGCGUACCUAAGACAUGCAAGUCGAACGGGUACGGACCCUUCGGGGUGGCGUGCUAGUGGCGGACGGGUGAGUAACGCGUAGGAACCUAUCGCACAGUGGGGGAGUACCACGGGGAAACCGGUGUUAAUACCGCAUGUGGUCAGCAAUGACGAAAGCAGCAAUGCGCUGUGUGCGGGGCCGUGCGUCCGAUUAGCUCGUUGGUGGGGUAAGGGCCUACCAAGGCGACGAUCGGAGCUGGUCUGAGAGGAUGGUCAG